RNAcentral lists this ribosomal RNA (369 nucleotides) under uncultured bacterium. RNAcentral describes it as "bacterial SSU rRNA". It matches the Rfam family "Bacterial small subunit ribosomal RNA", at positions 420 to 806 of the family's 1533-position model. The record is from RNAcentral.
GGUAUGUAAAGCUCUAUCAGCAGGGAAGAAAAUGACGGUACCUGACUAAGAAGCCCCGGCUAACUACGUGCCAGCAGCCGCGGUAAUACGUAGGGGGCAAGCGUUAUCCGGAUUUACUGGGUGUAAAGGGAGCGUAGACGGCAUGACAAGCCAGAUGUGAAAACCCAGGGCUCAACCCCGGGACUGCUUUGGAAACUGUUAAGCUAGAGUGCAGGAGAGGUAAGCGGAAUUCCUAGUGUAGCGGUGAAAUGCGUAGAUAUUAGGAGGAACACCAGUGGCGAAGGCGGCUUACUGGACUGUAACUGACGUUGAGGCUCGAAAGCGUGGGGAGCAAACAGGAUUAGAUACCCUGGUAGUCCACGCGGUAAA